UAAGUCAGAAAGAGGAAAACAAAUACCAUAUGCUACCCGACCCUGACCUAAAGUAAGUUCCCAGCAGAGGUUUUUCCUGGGUUUUGAAUUUGCAGUAACAGGUGUGAACAUUCUAGCAGCAGUUUGAUGAUCAUGUAUGAUACUGCAAACAGGA
Molecule: non-coding RNA, 154 nt
Organism: Physeter macrocephalus (sperm whale)
Lineage: Eukaryota; Metazoa; Chordata; Mammalia; Artiodactyla; Physeteridae
Source: Ensembl